GGGGGCUAGAGACGAUGCGACAAGUACCGUGAGGGAAGAUGAAAAGAACUUUGAAAAGAGAGUUAAACAGUACGUGAAAUUGUUGAAAGGGAAACGAUUGAAGCCAGUCGUACCUUCGGGUAAUCAGCCUUUCGGGUGCGAUUCUGUGGAGUGUGAGGAGCUUAACACCUUCAUGCCUUUGCAUUUCCGUGCUCUGGGUGUUCCUUGCCCGUCGGGAUGGUAAACUCAAAUUUGGAGGUCAAUAAAAGGCUGGAGGAAUGGUACUUUCAU
This 270-nucleotide ribosomal RNA is filed under the name uncultured Glomeromycotina. Its description in RNAcentral is "partial large subunit ribosomal RNA". It matches the Rfam family "Eukaryotic large subunit ribosomal RNA", at positions 318 to 546 of the family's 3401-position model. Lineage: Eukaryota; Fungi; Glomeromycota. The record is from RNAcentral.